GUAGGUGGCAAGCGUUGUCCGGAAUUAUUGGGCGUAAAGCGCGCGCAGGCGGUUCUUUAAGUCUGAUGUGAAAGCCCACGGCUCAACCGUGGAGGGUCAUUGGAAACUGGAGAACUUGAGUACAGAAGAGGAAAGCGGAAUUCCACGUGUAGCGGUGAAAUGCGUAGAGAUGUGGAGGAACACCAGUGGCGAAGGCGGCUUUCUGGUCUGUAACUGACGCUGAGGCGCGAAAGCGUGGGGAGCAAACAGGGAUUAGAUACCCUGGUAGUCCACGCCGUAAACGAUGAGUGCUAGAUAUUAAAAAGUUUCCGCCCCCCUUAGUGCUGCAGCUAACGCAUUAAGCACUCCGCCUGGGAGUACGGCCGCAAGGCUG
Molecule: ribosomal RNA, 373 nt
Filed under: uncultured organism
Description: partial 16S ribosomal RNA
Rfam family: Bacterial small subunit ribosomal RNA
Source: RNAcentral